RNAcentral lists this ribosomal RNA (465 nucleotides) under uncultured Klebsiella sp. RNAcentral's name for it is "bacterial SSU rRNA". It matches the Rfam family "Bacterial small subunit ribosomal RNA", at positions 338 to 795 of the family's 1533-position model. Lineage: Bacteria; Pseudomonadati; Pseudomonadota; Gammaproteobacteria; Enterobacterales; Enterobacteriaceae. The record is from RNAcentral.
CCUACGGGUGGCUGCAGUGGGGAAUAUUGCACAAUGGGCGCAAGCCUGAUGCAGCCAUGCCGCGUGUGUGAAGAAGGCCUUCGGGUUGUAAAGCACUUUCAGCGGGGAGGAAGGCGUUAAGGUUAAUAACCUUGUCGAUUGACGUUACCCGCAGAAGAAGCACCGGCUAACUCCGUGCCAGCAGCCGCGGUAAUACGGAGGGUGCAAGCGUUAAUCGGAAUUACUGGGCGUAAAGCACACGCAGGCGGUCUGUCAAGUCGGAUGUGAAAUCCCCGGGCUCAACCUGGGAACUGCAUUCGAAACUGGCAGGCUAGAGUCUUGUAGAGGGGGGUAGAAUUCCAGGUGUAGCGGUGAAAUGCGUAGAGAUCUGGAGGAAUACCGGUGGCGAAGGCGGCCCCCUGGACAAAGACUGACGCUCAGGUGCGAAAGCGUGGGGAGCAAACAGGAUUAGAUACCCGUGUAGUC